AUAAUUAAUAUCUUACAUCUAUCUACAAUAUUUUUUUUUACAUGCUAAAAAAGCUUGAUAAUUUGCAAAUGUAAUGUGGAAUUUCUUAAUAUCUUUAAAAAUCUUUAAAAUGAAUGAAAGUAAAAAACUUUAUUAGUACUACUAAUUAUAAACUAAGUACUCAUCUACUUCUAAAUUUCAAUCUAUAUAAAUUUAUUUUUCAUGUAACAACUCUAACAAAGAAAAACUCUAGUAACAUUUAAUGAUAAAUCAUUCUUAAUUAGAAUCAACUAAAAUAGACAUUAAUUAUCAAAAAACAUUUUUGCAAAUUUUGUCCUAAAAUUUUGUCCUAAAAUUUAGAAGUUCAAAGUUCUUUAACUUCAUACAAUAAGUAAGAUUCUUAUAAUGCCUAU
RNAcentral lists this long non-coding RNA (392 nucleotides) under Physcomitrium patens. Its description in RNAcentral is "long non-coding RNA (PPAT_LNC001001)". Lineage: Eukaryota; Viridiplantae; Streptophyta; Bryopsida; Funariales; Funariaceae. The record is from RNAcentral.